AGAGUUUGAUCCUGGCUCAGGACGAACGCUGGCGGCGUGCUUAACACAUGCAAGUCGAACGGAAAGGCCCUUCGGGGUACUCGAGUGGCGAACGGGUGAGUAACACGUGGGUGAUCUGCCCUGCACUUUGGGAUAAGCCUGGGAAGCUGGGUCUAAUACCGAAUAUGACCAUGCACUUCCUGGUGUGUGGUGGAAAGCUUUUGCGGUGUGGGAUGGGCCCGCGGCCUAUCAGCUUGUUGGUGGGGUAAUGGCCUACCAAGGCGACGACGGGUAGCCGGCCUGAGAGGGUGACCGGCCACACUGGGACUGAGAUACGGCCCAGACUCCUACGGGAGGCAGCAGUGGGGAAUAUUGCACAAUGGGCGCAAGCCUGAUGCAGCGACGCCGCGUGAGGGAUGACGGCCUUCGGGUUGUAAACCUCUUUCAGCACAGACGAAGCGCAAGUGACGGUAUGUGCAGAAGAAGGACCGGCCAACUACGUGCCAGCAGCCGCGGUAAUACGUAGGGUCCGAGCGUUGUCCGGAAUUACUGGGCGUAAAGAGCUCGUAGGUGGUUUGUCGCGUUGUUCGUGAAAACUCACAGCUUAACUGUGGGCGUGCGGGCGAUACGGGCAGACUUGAGUACUGCAGGGGAGACUGGAAUUCCUGGUGUAGCGGUGGAAUGCGCAGAUAUCAGGAGGAACACCGGUGGCGAAGGCGGGUCUCUGGGCAGUAACUGACGCUGAGGAGCAAAAGCGUGGGGAGCGAACAGGAUUAGAUACCCUGGUAGUCC
This 771-nucleotide ribosomal RNA is filed under the name uncultured bacterium. RNAcentral's name for it is "bacterial SSU rRNA". It matches the Rfam family "Bacterial small subunit ribosomal RNA", at positions 8 to 796 of the family's 1533-position model. The record is from RNAcentral.